This 504-nucleotide ribosomal RNA is filed under the name uncultured bacterium. RNAcentral describes it as "partial 16S ribosomal RNA". It matches the Rfam family "Bacterial small subunit ribosomal RNA", at positions 30 to 523 of the family's 1533-position model. The record is from RNAcentral.
AUUGAACGCUGGCGGCAGGCCUAACACAUGCAAGUCGAACGGUAGCACAGAGAGCUUGCUCUCGGGUGACGAGUGGCGGACGGGUGAGUAAGGUCUGGGAAACUGCCCGAUGGAGGGGGAUAACUACUGGAAACGGCAGCUAAUACCGGAUAACGUCGCAAGUCCAAAGUGGGGGACCUACGCGCCUCGCACCAUCGGAUGUGCCCAGAUGGGAUUAGCUGGAAGGUGGGGUAAUGGCUCACCUAGGGGACGAUCCCUAGCUGGUCUGAGAGGAUUACCAGCCACACUUGAACUAAGACACGGUCCAGACGCCUACGGGAGGCAGCAGUGGGGAAUAUUGCACAAUGGGCGCAAGCCUGAUGCAGCCAUGCCGCGUGUAUGAAGAAGGCCUUCGGAUUAUAAAGUACUUUCAGCAGGGAGGAAGGCGGUGGAGUUAAUAACUUCACCGAUUGACGUUACCCGCAGAAGAAGCACCGGCUAACUCCGUGCCAGCAGCCGCAGUAA